CCUGAUGCAGCGACGCCGCGUGAGGGAUGACGGCCUUCGGGUUGUAAACCUCUUUCAGCAGGGACGAAGCGCAAGUGACGGUACCUGUAGAAGAAGGACCGGCCAACUACGUGCCAGCAGCCGCGGUAAUACGUAGGGUCCGAGCGUUGUCCGGAAUUACUGGGCGUAAAGAGCUCGUAGGUGGUUUGUCGCGUUGUUCGUGAAAACUCACAGCUUAACUGUGGGCGUGCGGGCGAUACGGGCAGACUUGAGUACUGCAGGGGAGACUGGAAUUCCUGGUGUAGCGGUGGAAUGCGCAGAUAUCAGGAGGAACACCGGUGGCGAAGGCGGGUCUCUGGGCAGUAACUGACGCUGAGGAGCGAAAGCGUGGGGAGCGAACAGGAUUAGAUACCCUGGUAGUCCACGCCGUAAACGGUGGGUACUAGGUGUGGGUUUCCUUCCUUGGGAUCCGUGCCGUAGCUAACGCAUUAAGUACCCCGCCUGGGGAGUACGGCCGCAAGGCUAAAACUCAAAGAAAUUGACGGGGGCCCGCACAAGCGGCGGAGCAUGUGGAUUAAUUCGAUGCAACGCGAAGAACCUUACCUGGGUUUGACAUGCACAGGACGUGCCUAGAGAUAGGUAUUCCCUUGUGGCC
RNAcentral lists this ribosomal RNA (634 nucleotides) under Mycobacterium sp. So3Pw_1040. Its description in RNAcentral is "bacterial SSU rRNA". It matches the Rfam family "Bacterial small subunit ribosomal RNA", at positions 382 to 1028 of the family's 1533-position model. Lineage: Bacteria; Bacillati; Actinomycetota; Actinomycetes; Mycobacteriales; Mycobacteriaceae. The record is from RNAcentral.